Molecule: long non-coding RNA, 4230 nt
Filed under: Podarcis lilfordi (Lilford's wall lizard)
Lineage: Eukaryota; Metazoa; Chordata; Lepidosauria; Squamata; Lacertidae
Source: RNAcentral
GAUUGGCAGAAAGGCCUUCGAUAUACACGUGCUGACAAGAAGACGGCUCCUUCUCUCAGGCUACUCUGGAUAAAAGCUGGGCUUCUGGGAGAGAAGCUGUUUCUCAGCAUUUAAAAUGAACGCAUUGGGCUGAGGUAAUCUAGGUUAUAAUAAUAAUAAUAAUAAUUUAUUAUUUAUACCCCGCCCAUCUGGCUGGGCCUCCCCAGCCACUCUGGGCGGCUUCCAAAAAAAUAUUAAAAUACUAUAAUACAUCAAAGGUUGACUUUGCUUCAAGGCUGGAGGAGGAGGGAGUGAGGCCUGAAGAGUGGGAAGCGCUUUCAGCUGUGUGGAAAAAGUAGGCCCUUCAAGGUACUAAGAAGCUUCUAGAUGCCUGGAGUGGGAAGCCCUUUAAGCUGUGUGGAAAAAGUAGGCCCUUCAAAGUACUGAGAAGCUUCUAGAUGCCUUCUGGCUGGUUCAGGGGAUUCAUCCCAGUGGCUAUGCCUUUUUACUCCAAAGCUGGCCCAUUUUUUGUGCCUAUUGUUUUUCUUUCACACACCCUGUCUCUUCACGACACCUGGGACACCUCAGCUUUUGCACUACGGAUUGUAGAUGAUCGAUUCAAAGCUCCAUGGUAUGUACAUGAUGAGAUGGCUUUCCUAAUUUUAAUUUGAUUUAUAAUUCCCAGAUAUGUUGAUAAUUGGAAUAUCUGUCUGUACUUUUUAAUGAGUAUUUUGGGUUCUGUUUUAUGUUCUUAAUUUCCCCUCUUUUUAUUGCAUUCUUUCUUAAUAAGUCUACAGAAUUGGGGUCUGUUUAUUUGGGUAAAGCCUUGGUACUGACUCCAUUUCCUAACCUCUUGGUUGCUUACUAUUGUGUAAGUGGUAAACCUGAGGCUCAGGGAGCAGAGAAACCCGUUUCUAGCUCUUUUUUUCUUUUAAAUCUUAGGGGCGUCCUUGCAGGGUUGGUGUUAGAUCCUGAAUAGUAGUCCUGGCUGUAACACCAGAGUCUGGGCCCAGGAUUUUGAGGAGCCAGUCCUUGACACAACCUUCUUUUUCUACAUCCCUCUGCUGGGUUUCCUAUCUCAAUAUGUUACAAUAUGAAAAGCAUGGUUCUUUUUCUUAUGAGUGGACCUAAUAAACAAUAUUUGUUUUGCUUAAAAACUUUAAAUAAUUUCUCCUUCAGUUAAAUUAAUUUACGACCACUAAGGCUAAGGGAAACUGCUUCAGGACUACCAGUUUUCUAUCUCUCAGAAACCAAAAUUAGUUAUAUUAUUAUUACUAUUUCUGAAUUUAUAUGGCACUUAGUGCCCAGAUGGCUUCUAAGCAGUUUUCAAAACAUGGAAACCAAUUACACAUUGUACAACAUUAUGCCAAUGUAACAUGGGAAGGGAAGCUGAGGGCAGCUGCCUCAUUUCUAUUUUUAUUUAUUUUUAAUUAGAAAUUGGGAGACCAGCAUGCAGGAAGAAAUAAUCUUUCUCCCUUGUACCAGGAUGGGGAGUACCCAUGGCUGCUUUUUGUCAGCAAAGAGAAGUGACCAGCCAAAGCAUGGUUUUGAACCAACUGCCUAAAAAGACAUCUAGUUUGAACUCAAAUCCAAAGAUAAGAAAUACUUCUUGAGGUAAAGAAAAGCUGAUGACUGCAUUAUUCAUUGUAACCCAUUUUUGUUAUACUUCAAGCUCAUAGUCCCUGUGCCAACCUAUUACUAAACUGGUGAAGGCAGAUCAUGGCUGUUGUAUGAUAUGUAGCAAACAACAGAAAUCUUAAUUUUAUAAUUAACCAGCAGCCUCUUGUCUGGCGUUGCUCAGGAAUUCUAUGAAAUAAAAAAAAGUAUACAGCUUUGAAAUAAGUGGUAAAAUUAUUGCAGUUUUAAUGGGUUCUGUCCACCACCUUGAUUCAAAAUGGUGUCCAGUUGCAUCCAAACAUAGACAAAAACUUGCUCCUUGAUCUCAGGAACUAAAUUUGGUUAUAGCAUUUAAAAAAGUGACCAAAUGCCUAGCAAAAAACUAUCUGAGAUCCUUAAGUGGAGAUGUCAAGGACAGGACCCGUGUUUGAUAUGCGCGUAUGCCAGAAUCUAGGUUGAUCUCCUUCUUGAGUUGGAAAAGUUGGAAGGAAAAACAGCAUAUGGAAAUAAGCUGGUUUGUUUGCUUGUUUAAAUAUGAUUUUGGGAUUCUGCCUUUGAAGUACUGCGUCUUGAGACUUAGGCGGAACACAGAUUUUGUUGCUCCCACCAGUGCCUUUGUCAACUCACUGUUCACCACUUCUCCUCCUACAUCUCUGUCACAGGACUGAGUGACAGAUCUCUUACUCUCAUUUUCUCUUCCUGACCCUAAGGAUGCUCUCUGAUUCUUUCCACUUCACUGCCAAAGGUUGAUAGCAUUAUUCAUUUCUCUUGGGGGGGGGGGAUGUCGUAUAGAUUGACACAGGUCAGUGGUGAUGGUUGGUGCAUUCGCUUACAAUGUCAGUCAGUGGUGGAGACUUUAAUUAUAACCCAGCAUUUUGGGUGUCCCCAAAAGUAAGACUGUCACUGAACUUUGAAAGCUUAGCACUCGGGUUCCUAAACUGGUCCAUGGAGUAUCAGUGGUCUGGAAGCUUCAUUCAGGUGGUCUAUGGCAUGUCUGUUGAUUUGUGGUUGAAAAUGGUAGCAGCACAUCAAUUGCAUUAAAUAUUCAUAUUUAUUUUUAAUUGCCUUUUAAUUGCUUCUUUAAUUUCUUAUACUGUAUUUUAUUGUAUUUCAAUUUGAAUUCUAUGGAAUACAAUAAAACACAUUAUAUAAGAAAUAAAAUAAAUGGUAAAAAUACAAUUAAAACCAUACAGCGUAUUGCACAGCACAUUAAUUGCUACAACUGGCAAGAAAAGCAUUAAGUGUUCUGUCAAGAUUCUCAGCAGUUCCCAAGUGGUCACUAGGAAGAAAUGUUUGGGAACCACUGGCUUAGUAGAAUCAUAGAGUUCAGGUGAUUUGCGUGUACUGAACUGGUACCUAAUAUUAGAGCUUACCUGCUAAGUUUUCCUAAAGGCAUUUGCUGUGUUUGUUCUUGUUUUCCAGCCUUUUUGGCUGACAUGAUACCUUUCUGUCUGGAGGACCGAGUUUUACAAUUUUGUCAGAUUGUGUACUGUAUUUUGGAACUCUGAACCUGUUGUUAUUAUUAUUAUGCAAAUUAUUGUUUUAUUUUGUGAGAGAGACAUUGGGUACUAUAUACAAAUCUAUGAUCUAUAAAUAUGCUAGAUAGGUUUUGAAGUUAAUAUUUCAAAAAUUCUGUGAAAACAUUCUACCCCAAAGGCAUCGGAAGAAGCUUUUAAAUUUAACAAGCUAAUGUUCAAAAAGUGACUCUGCUUCAAACAGGAAUACGGAAGUUGUUUUCCUCCAUACGUUGUCAGUUCUAGCCAGCAUGGCCAAUGGCCAGGGAUGAUGGAAAAUGUACUGUAGGUCAACAUCAUCUUGGGGAUUACAGAUCCCCCAGUCGUUGGCUUUAAAAAAAAAAAAAAGCAAAACACAAAACAUUCCCUCUGUCAAAUGUUCUAGCCCAGAGAGUUUUAGAGAAUUCAUACUGUGCUUUUCCUCUUCUGAAAAACGGGGUAUACUUCAUUUUCUCUUUAUCACAUUCUCUGCUGCAUUUUUUAAUGUGAAAUAUUUUCAGCAUUAGCCGUCAGUAGCAGAGUACUGUAUAAACAGGGAUAUUAUUUUGGCUAUGGUGUCCUGAUGUGAUCUCCGCUUUUUCCCGUCCUCCCUCUGACAUAUUUGCCUGCAGCAAGGAACUCAACAUAUUUCUCUGCAGGGAAGAGCUCAACUUGUGAUGUCAACCUGCUAAACACACAGUGCAUGUAUGUUAAAAACAUGCCAUUUGACCUCUGUUCUGCCAGUGGCUUGUCAUUUGAAAUUUCAAUUGCAAAUUGUGUGUUUGUUUAAUGCUUUCUCUUAUAAACACAAAUUAAUUUACGAGGUCUCUCCCCGUUUGCUAAUGACACUUGUUCAAGAGUGGCUUACAUUACCAAUCAUUAGAAGGAGGCCAUUAGUUUCCUCUCUUUUAAUAUUACAUAAGAAGAUAAAUCCUUGCCCAGUUCAGCAGCUGAAGGCAGACUCUGAUUUAGAUUUGUGGAGGCCCUUGUUACCUUGCCAGUUUGGGCCCUCAAUUACUGUGCCCCAUCUACAUGCUGGAACAGAGUGUGAGUGAGACUAAAAUACACACAUAAAUUCAAAUUUUGAAUUCUUACAGUUUGGUACAGCAGCUAAACUUUUUGUUUUGGUUCAAAAACUGUG